UUCAAGGGUUUCCACAAAUCCAAC
This 24-nucleotide small nuclear RNA is filed under the name Arabidopsis thaliana (thale cress). RNAcentral's name for it is "snRNA_19059". Lineage: Eukaryota; Viridiplantae; Streptophyta; Magnoliopsida; Brassicales; Brassicaceae. The record is from RNAcentral.